Long non-coding RNA from Homo sapiens (human), 324 nucleotides. The record is from Ensembl. NCBI's taxonomy places the organism in Eukaryota, Metazoa, Chordata, Mammalia, Primates, Hominidae.
GAUCUGCGAUGGUGACAUCAAUAGGUCACCAUGUUGGCAGCUGUAUAAUCAGCAAUGAAAGCUGAAUAUUAUCACCAGAUAACCAAAUUAUGAAAUAUCUAUAUUAACUUCAAGAUUCAGGGCCAAUGAACCAGUAUCUGCCCUUACGAGAUUUAGCUGAAAGUGAAAUGCAAGGUGGUGAACGGCAUUCUAACAAGAGUGUGAAGAAAGAGAUAGAAGGCUGUCCGCUGCUGGAGGGGAAGAAAGGAGGGGAGGCUUUUUCAAGGCUCUGUGGCUCAGUGGACCUUCAAUAAAUUGGACCUUCAAUAAAUUAAUUGAAAAACA